This 239-nucleotide ribosomal RNA is filed under the name uncultured bacterium. RNAcentral's name for it is "partial 16S ribosomal RNA". It matches the Rfam family "Bacterial small subunit ribosomal RNA", at positions 524 to 761 of the family's 1533-position model. The record is from RNAcentral.
UACGUAGGGCGCGAGCGUUGUCCGGAAUUAUUGGGCGUAAAGAGCUCGUAGGCGGCCUGUCGCGUCCGCCUGUGAAAUCCCGGGGCUCAACCCCGGGCUUGCAGUGGAUACGGGCUGGCUAGAGGCAGGCAGGGGAGAACGGAAUUCCCGGUGUAGCGGUGAAAUGCGCAGAUAUCGGGAGGAACACCGGUGGCGAAGGCGGUUCUCUGGGCCUGUACUGACGCUGAGGAGCGAAAGCG